UACGUAGGGAGCAAGCGUUGUCCGGAAUCAUUGGGCGUAAAGCGCGCGUAGGCGGCCUCGUAAGUCCGCUGUAAAAGUCACAGGCUCAACCUGUGAACGCCGGUGGAUACUGUGAGGCUGGAGUCCGGAAGAGGCGAGUGGAACUCCUGGUGUAGCGGUGGAAUGCGCAGAUAUCAGGAAGAACACCAACGGCGAAGGCAGCUCGCUGGGACGGUACUGACGCUGAGACGCGAAAGCGUGGGGAGCAAACAGG
Molecule: ribosomal RNA, 253 nt
Filed under: uncultured bacterium
Lineage: Bacteria
Description: partial 16S ribosomal RNA
Rfam family: Bacterial small subunit ribosomal RNA
Source: RNAcentral